This 575-nucleotide long non-coding RNA is filed under the name Olea europaea (common olive). RNAcentral describes it as "long non-coding RNA (OEUR_LNC004466)". Lineage: Eukaryota; Viridiplantae; Streptophyta; Magnoliopsida; Lamiales; Oleaceae. The record is from RNAcentral.
ACUCGCUUAAGAAGGACCAAAAAACUGAUACAGACACAAUUGCCACCACCGGCUCUGGUAGCACAAUUUCAACUUCAAAUCCCAACCCAAAUUUCACCAUCCUCAUCAAAGUCCUCACGUUCAAUCGUCUUCCCUCCCUCCACCCCCUCCCGCUACCUCAAAUCUCUAGCUAAAUUUGGUUUUGAGUGGAAAUUUGGUUAGAAGUUUGUGCAUUGUCAAACUUUAAAUGCUGGGUUCAGGAUUAGUGGGAUUAGUUGAAUCCGUGUGUGGGUUGCAAUUUGAGAAUUUAAUUGGUGUGUUUUCCAUAGUUGAUAGGACCUGAAGUGCAUUUUUCUCAGUUGAAUUUGUGGCUUAGAGCAUGCAGGAUGCAUCAAAUUGAAAUGGGACAGGCUAGAGAGGAGUCUGUUUGGUGGCUGCCAGCAUGGGUGUUCGUUGAAAAGAGGGUUGCGGCCAGCAUGGGUGUAGCCAGAAAGGGUGUUGUCUGCGAUUUGCUAUAGAGGUGAUGUCGACGUUGGCGCCAAAGGUUGAAGACAGUUGUGUGAUUUUGAUUUUUCGGCUAGGGUAAAGAAGAGAGA